UACGUAGGUGACAAGCGUUGUCCGGAUUUACUGGGCGUAAAGCGCGUGCAGGCGGCCUUGCAAGUCGGACGUGAAAUCCCACGGCUCAACCGUGGAAGUGCAUUCGAAACUGCGAGGCUGGAGUCCUGGAGAGGAAAGUGGAAUACUCGGUGUAGAGGUGAAAUUCGUAGAUAUCGAGUGGAACACCGGUGGCGAAGGCGGCUUUCUGGACAGGUACUGACGCUGAGACGCGAAAGCGUGGGGAGCAAACAGG
This 253-nucleotide ribosomal RNA is filed under the name uncultured bacterium. Its description in RNAcentral is "partial 16S ribosomal RNA". It matches the Rfam family "Bacterial small subunit ribosomal RNA", at positions 524 to 776 of the family's 1533-position model. The record is from RNAcentral.